UAAACAUUUCUACUAGCCACAGCUUUGCUGCCAGUACAUUUUAUUAUGAUACUAUAAGCUCAGAAGUUGAUCAAACAAUUCGAUCUGUGCUAUAAACAUUUAAAUGAACCUACAGAAUAGGCUAUCAAAAUAGAAUCAUCUGAAUGAUCUUUCUUGGACAUACAUUUUGAAGUGACCCUUCGAAUUAAAAAGGUUCCUCAGCUGCUUUUGAGGAAAAACAUCAAUGUGCUUGGCCACUCUGGUUUUUAAAUGGUAUUCUGAACUAAAGCAAGGAUUGUUCAAGUUAGUUGAAAAUAGACCGUCUCUGGUUAAAUUAGUUCUACACCAAGCCUUUAGGUGGCAGUAAAACGAAUUGGCACAAUGCGAAUUCCACACACAAGCCACAAAGAAAGAAGCCAUCAGCCGCGGUCAACAGCACCUUCCUGAUUGAACAGAACCACGCGUUGUCUGUGUGGUUUACAAGUUUCUUGGCGAUAUGGGGGAAAGUUCCUCACAUACCAACGGAAAAUGGGCUUCAUAUACAUGCUGCUGUCUCAUAAUAUGGCGAAGACGAGUCACCUGAAGGCCUAACUCGCCAUAGAAGACUGAAAGAAUUGUCCUGCAGGAUGCUGUGUCCUGCAAUCCUGUGUGCUGUGCUACAGACGCGUGUGGAG
Molecule: long non-coding RNA, 653 nt
Organism: Engraulis encrasicolus (European anchovy)
Lineage: Eukaryota; Metazoa; Chordata; Actinopteri; Clupeiformes; Engraulidae
Exons: 3
Source: RefSeq, a predicted model, not a curated record